AUAUAAGAAACAGUAGCUAAUAGACUGGACCAAUUAUAUGAAAACAAUCAUAUUCAUUAUAAUAACUACCCUACACAGUACAGGAUCAAGCAACUAUUUCGGACGUAACAUGUUUGCGUCGUUCUAUAAAAAAAUUGGGGUAUCGUCAUCAUCCUGCGACUACCAACUCUCUACUAGUCAGUGAACGGAGAACCGAGAGCACUAUCGCUUGAGGUAGCGGAGAGCAUCAAGCGGAUAAACUCUGUCUAAUUUUCAGCUAAUUCCCCUUCAGUGCUGGUCGGACACGGACCAUAUACCAUCCCCGAGUGGAUUUUUUUUGUCUGUGGGUGACCCGAACUGUUGGACGAAUUGAAAAAUAUUAUAAUUUGGCGUCGUAUCUAAGCAGAAACGAAAGUAUUGAGAGUGGUAUCCGAGGUUAGCCAGUUGGCUAACUGGGAAGGUUGCCUAGCUAGCUACUGCUGAGAAAAUACGAAGCGGAGGGAGACUACAGCGGCAAAAAGGGCCAUCGACGUGAGCUGUAUCCUGAAGAGGAGCUCUCCGUUUUUCUGGACACAUCAAGAGGAGUCGGAGUCCAUUUUGCUGUGUUCUACUCUGAUACUUUCGGAGCCUCCACUGACAGCCCUAACAGUGAGGGGCCAGGCCGGGAGCGGAGAGGAGAGCAACCCCCAGUGUGGCCUGACCGAGAGAAUCAAUGCCAAGCCCUUCUCCUCCUCAGACAGCCUAGUGAAGGUCCAGGAGGUAGCAAGCUGGCUUUUGGAAAUGAACCAGGAUCUGCUGUCGGGGGGCAGCAGGCGGGGCCUGGGGGGCCGGCGAGGGGGCCCGGGGGCCCAGCGAGGUAACGCCUCCUCCUCGGCCCGGACGCCCCAGGGCCAGCAGCCUGGAGAGGAGGCCGACGAGGAGGAGCACAUGAACCGGGUGGUGGAGGACCAAGAACACCAGCAGUCCAGAGUCCAGCCUGCGGCCUCGGCGGGGGGGGAAGGAGUGGAAGAGCCGUGGACCUCCAGGGAGAAUGGGCCCCGGGGAGACGGAGAGGAGGAGGAUGGAGGAGGAGUACCCAACGAGGUGAACGGAGGAGGGACUAAGGGCGGCCGGUGGAUGUGGGAGGCGGAGCGACGGCAACAGGGGGAGGAUGACGAGGAGGAGGAGGAGGAAGAGGAGAACAACAACAGUGGCAGCCAGCAGGGAGAGGAGGAGGAAAGGACAGAGGGAGGAGAGAGAACGGGGAGGGAGGACGAGGAGGAGAUGGACCAGGACAGUGAUGACUUUGAGCAUUCGGAGGAGAGCGGGAGGGAGGAAGAAGAGGAGGAGGAGGGGGAGGACGGCCUCCACUCACCCUCCACCAGGAGUGAUGCAUCUGUCCCCAACAACAACUUGGACCAGUCCUCGGGAUGCCAACACCAAAGCUCACCCAUCAAGAAGAAGGUAAGCAGCUCUUAUGUUUGUUCACUUUGUUUUCUAUAUGUGUAAGCCACACCGCCCUCCAGGCUCCUUGUCCUCGGACGCAUUCAUGCAUCAUUUGUCAGUCAAACAUACAUUUGUCAGUCAAACAUGCACCUUCGUCAUAAUACCCUUUGUGACAGGGUGAACGGGUGUUUAAUCACCACUAGGGGGCAAUACUUACCUACAUGCUCACACACAGAGAGAGAGAGAGAGCAGCAUGCAGCAGCUCAGCCCAGUGACAGCCCACCCCGUCCCCUUCCUCAUGUUACUCCUCUGUUACUCACCCUGGCUUGUGGUUGGUUGUAGCGCCACGGCUCAUUCAGCCCUCUGCUUAAUUGCCUGUCCCUGUUCUAUUUACCAGUGUACCGCAUUAGAGGUGCUUUGUACCUGUGCGUUUUAACAAGAUGCUGUGGGAACGCGCCAGGCUAGGCUGAUUAAACGAGCUGCAGUUGAUUGGAUUAGGGCAGUGACACCCUGAAGAGAACCCCUCGGGUCAUCGUUUGGUUUUGUCUGACUGUAGCAGUGUGGACCUUUCCCAGCAACCACUUUGCGUGCUUUGAGACGGUGCCUGUUCUGCUCUCUGCCAACUGGCCAACUCCCAUACACACACAUUUGUAUGUACGUAGAGUGGCCCUCUCUAUAUAUAUAUAUAUAUAUACACACACACACACACACACACAGUUUAGAGCCCCAUUGAAUGUGCAUGUUGUUAUGACAACUACAAGUGCAUGCAGCGCUCAGUCUUGCGUUAGGAUGUUGAGGGACACUUUUUGUCUGGUCUGGUUCUCCAGAUGAAUAUGAUGUUGAUCAUGAAUGACUGACAUUCACAAUACCAGGAAAAAUACAAUGUGGAUAUGAGAUGUGCUUUUUUUCCCCAGAAAAGUCUUUGAAUUUAGCCUUUUUAUUCAGCAGUGGUAUUUCUUUGAAUAUCAAUUUCCAUUGAAGGAUAUAUGUAUAUAUGUGCAUGUUCUCAGUUGAGCUAUUAGUGAAGGAAAGAGAACGAUAUGGUCUUUAGCUACAUUCAUAGUAAAUGGAAAGCAAGCAAAUAUGUGUUUUUGUAGAGAAAGGCCUGUUUAACUGACUUGUUAAUGUAGAUGAAUCGUCAUUCAGUGGAGAGGGAAGUGGACCACCGACUGUGUUCCCAUUGACUUAACAGUGUUAUUGGCCCGUCUUACAUAUUACUGAGCUCUGUUAACCACUCAAAGCAGAGCCAGACUGAAAUGCACUACAUUCAGUGCCUAGUGAAAUGAACUGCAUUCAGUCAGUGCUCGGUGAAAUGUGCUGCAGUGCCCGGGUAAUGGUCUAUAGAUUCUGCUCUGUGGACAAGCUGGCCAUUGUGGUGAUAGUGCUGUGGUGUGAUUAUACAGUGAUGUGAUGGAUGAAGUGUUGGCUCAACCUGCCGCCCAUUUGUGGCAGUCAGGGCAAGAAGUCAAGUAAAGCCAUCUGAUAAUUGCAUUUGUCCACCAACACGAUUAGCUAUAGGCAAAGAUCAGGGGACAGAGGGGCCAGUGUAUUCAGCCCCCACGGCUUGGCCUCCCAGCGGGAGGGGUGGUCCCCCUGGGUCCCAGCACACGAAAGAGGGCCACGCGUCACCACUGCAUGAUGGGGGUCGUUGACUGCUAACCCAGCGGCACACUGCCCGGCACAGUGUGGGAUGGCAGGGGCUGAGUGGAGAGCCUGGCGAGGCAUCAAUGAAGUUU
RNAcentral lists this long non-coding RNA (3140 nucleotides) under Salmo salar (Atlantic salmon). RNAcentral's name for it is "lncRNA (ENSSSAG00000093481.1)". The record is from RNAcentral. Lineage: Eukaryota; Metazoa; Chordata; Actinopteri; Salmoniformes; Salmonidae.